AACUUUUAACAACGGAUCUCUUGGUUCUCGCAUCGAUGAAGAACGUAGCAAAGUGCGAUAACUAGUGUGAAUUGCAUAUUCAGUGAAUCAUCGAGUCUUUGAACGCAUCUUGCGCUCAAUGGUAUUCCAUUGAGCACGCCUGUUUCAGUA
Molecule: ribosomal RNA, 150 nt
Filed under: Mucor endophyticus
Lineage: Eukaryota; Fungi; Mucoromycota; Mucoromycetes; Mucorales; Mucoraceae
Also listed under: 4 other names
Description: 5.8S ribosomal RNA
Rfam family: 5.8S ribosomal RNA
About the family: 5.8S ribosomal RNA (5.8S rRNA) is a component of the large subunit of the eukaryotic ribosome. It is transcribed by RNA polymerase I as part of the 45S precursor that also contains 18S and 28S rRNA.
Source: RNAcentral